AUAAAGUUUAAUUUUGGUUUAAAGGUUUAUUUUAUUUUUUAUUUACAUGUAAAUUUUAGUGGGGAUUAAAAUUUAAUUUAAAUAAUUAUUUUUAUUUUUUUUAUUCGCAGUAUGGGGUUUUAUUAAAUUUAAGAAAUUAAGAAUUAUAAAUUAAUUUUAGUAUUAACAAAAUUUGUGCCAGCAGUUGCGGUUAUACAAGAAAUAUAAGUAAAUUUUAUUGAUUAUUAAUUAGAUGAUUUUAUUUUAUUUAAAAUUAAAUUUUUAAGGUGAAAUUUUAAAUUUAUAAUAUUUAUAAUAAAAAAUAUUGAUAUUAAGAAAUUUUAUUUAUAAACUAGGAUUAGAUACCCUAUUAUUUAAAAUUUAAAUUUAUUAUCAAAGUAGUAUUAGUUAAGUUCUUUAAAUUUAAAAAAUUUGGCGGUAUUUUAGUCUUUUCAGAGGAACCUGUUCUGUAAUUGAUAGUCCACGAUAAAUCGUAUUUUAUUUAAUUAAUUUGUAUAUCGUCGUUAUUAAAUAUUUUAUAAGAAUAAUAAUAUUUAAGAAUUUACAUUAAAAAAUAUUUCAGAUCAAGGUGCAGUAUAUAAUAAAAUAGAAAUGGGUUACAAUAAAUUUAUUUAAAAUGAAUUUUUAUAUGUAAAUGUAUUUUGAAGGAGGAUUUGAAAGUAAUAAUAUUUAUAAAAAUUUUAUGAUUAUAGCUCUAAAAUGUGUACAUAUCGCCCGUCGCUCUUACAUUAAAAUAAGAUAAGUCGUAACAAAGUAGAUGUACUGGAAAGUGUAUCUAGAAUUUC
RNAcentral lists this non-coding RNA (785 nucleotides) under Hyphydrus ovatus. The record is from RNAcentral. Lineage: Eukaryota; Metazoa; Arthropoda; Insecta; Coleoptera; Dytiscidae.